AAAAAGUGUUGGUCUUUUUGCUCUUUUGUAAUUAAAUCUGGAUGUACCUCAAAAGACUCUUUAAGACUGUGGUGAUAAGAUGCUUUCCUC
RNAcentral lists this long non-coding RNA (90 nucleotides) under Cercocebus atys (sooty mangabey). RNAcentral describes it as "Taurine upregulated 1 conserved region 2 (ENSCATG00000015480.1)". It matches the Rfam family "Taurine upregulated gene 1 conserved region 2". Rfam says of the family: TUG1 (taurine upregulated gene 1) is a long non-coding RNA expressed in retina and brain. It was first identified in a screen for genes upregulated by in developing retinal cells in response to taurine. Lineage: Eukaryota; Metazoa; Chordata; Mammalia; Primates; Cercopithecidae. The record is from RNAcentral.